This 1532-nucleotide long non-coding RNA is filed under the name Homo sapiens (human). RNAcentral describes it as "HSALNT0074154". Lineage: Eukaryota; Metazoa; Chordata; Mammalia; Primates; Hominidae. The record is from RNAcentral.
CUGGAGGGCCAGAAGGUGGGGCGGUACCUCAGGAUAAUGGCAGCAGAAGGCAAAGGGAGCAGACAGCUGGCAAGCUCUGUCCCAAUAUGCUUCCCUGAAAGAGGCGAGGAAAUUUCAGAAGAUGCAAUGCCUGAAUGGCUCACUUUGCAGGAAAACAGAAGAACCAAGGCAGGACUGUACUGCCGCAAUCUCGGCUCACUGCAGCCUCCCUGCCUGAUUCUCCUGCCUCAGCCUGCCGAGUGCCUGGGAUUGCAGGCGCCCACCGCCACGCCUGACUGGUUUUUGUAUUUUUUGGUGGAGACGGGGUUUCGCGGUGUUGGCUGGGCUGGUCUCAGCUCCUGACCUCGAGUGAUCUGCCCGCCUCGGCCUCCCGAGGUGCCGGGAUUGCAGACGGGAGUCUCGCUUACUCAGUGCUCAAUGUUGCCCAGGUUGGAGUGCAGUGGCGUGAUCUCGGCUCGCUAAAACCUCCACCUCCCAGCCACCUGCCCUGGCCUCCCAAAGUGCUGAGAUUGCAGCCUCUGCCCGGCUGCCACCCCGUCUAGGAAGUGAGGAGCAUCUCUGCCUGGCCGCCUAUUGUCUGGGAUGUGAGGAGCCCCUCUGCCCGGUGCCCAGUCUGGGAAGUGAGGAGCGCCUCUUCCCGGCCGCCAUCCCGUCUAGGAAGUGAGGAACAUCUCUGCCUGGCCGCCCAUCAUCUGGGAUGCGAGGAGCCCCUCUGCCUGGCUGCCCAGUCUGGGAAGUGAGGAGCGCCUCUUCCCGGGCCAUCAUCCCGUCUAGGAAGUGAGGAACGUCUCUGCCUGGCCACCCAUCAUCUGGGAUGUGGGGAGCGCCUCUGCCCGGCCGCCCUGUCUGGGAGAUGAGGAGCAUCUCUACCCAGCCACCACCCAGUCUGGGAAGUGAGGAGCGCCUCUGCCCGGCCGCCACCCCGUCUGGGAGGUGAGGAGCGUCUCUACCCGGCCGCCACCCCAUCUGGGAGGAAUACAACAUGUUUAAGACCACAGAACAUCUGCAUAGGCUGUAAAUUUCGUUGAAUGAUGGAUGCAAAGAUGGAAGACAGAUGGAUAGAGGAAAAGACAGAAUCAGAUACUGGAUGAGUUAGUACUGCUGCCUGUGCUUCAGAGCUGUCUUAUUACCACAAGGCCGGCAAGCAUCAAUGUCCCCACAUCCCCCUCUGCCUCCCCCUGAAAUGUACCGAUUUAUAUGAAAAUUAAGAUUACAAAUUAAAGCCUGGCUAUCCUGGAGUUUUCCAGUUCAUCAGCCAUCCAAUAAAAAUGAUGUCAAGCCUGUAUGCAUAAUUCCCGGAAGAUUACUUUCGUCCUUACAGCUAAGCCCUGUCCCUGAUAUGAAAGAUCUCUAUCCACUUUUAUUGAAAUAAAGAACUAACAUCAUAAUCCCAAUAUUGAGGUAUAAUCUUCAUUAUCUCCUGACCCUCUUGAGGUUCCCCCAAUCUAUAUUACUUCAGAUUUGGUUUAUGUGUAAUCCUUAUGUAUUUACUUUUAUUGAGAUAGGAUUAAAAACUAAAAAAAAAGCUUCAA